Molecule: ribosomal RNA, 846 nt
Filed under: Lactiplantibacillus plantarum
Lineage: Bacteria; Bacillati; Bacillota; Bacilli; Lactobacillales; Lactobacillaceae
Description: bacterial SSU rRNA
Rfam family: Bacterial small subunit ribosomal RNA
Source: RNAcentral
CCGAAGAAGUGCAUCGGAAACUGGGAAACUUGAGUGCAGAAGAGGACAGUGGAACUCCAUGUGUAGCGGUGAAAUGCGUAGAUAUAUGGAAGAACACCAGUGGCGAAGGCGGCUGUCUGGUCUGUAACUGACGCUGAGGCUCGAAAGUAUGGGUAGCAAACAGGAUUAGAUACCCUGGUAGUCCAUACCGUAAACGAUGAAUGCUAAGUGUUGGAGGGUUUCCGCCCUUCAGUGCUGCAGCUAACGCAUUAAGCAUUCCGCCUGGGGAGUACGGCCGCAAGGCUGAAACUCAAAGGAAUUGACGGGGGCCCGCACAAGCGGUGGAGCAUGUGGUUUAAUUCGAAGCUACGCGAAGAACCUUACCAGGUCUUGACAUACUAUGCAAAUCUAAGAGAUUAGACGUUCCCUUCGGGGACAUGGAUACAGGUGGUGCAUGGUUGUCGUCAGCUCGUGUCGUGAGAUGUUGGGUUAAGUCCCGCAACGAGCGCAACCCUUAUUAUCAGUUGCCAGCAUUAAGUUGGGCACUCUGGUGAGACUGCCGGUGACAAACCGGAGGAAGGUGGGGAUGACGUCAAAUCAUCAUGCCCCUUAUGACCUGGGCUACACACGUGCUACAAUGGAUGGUACAACGAGUUGCGAACUCGCGAGAGUAAGCUAAUCUCUUAAAGCCAUUCUCAGUUCGGAUUGUAGGCUGCAACUCGCCUACAUGAAGUCGGAAUCGCUAGUAAUCGCGGAUCAGCAUGCCGCGGUGAAUACGUUCCCGGGCCUUGUACACACCGCCCGUCACACCAUGAGAGUUUGUAACACCCAAAGUCGGUGGGGUAACCUUUUAGGAACCAGCCGCCU